GUUUAGAUUGAAGGAGCUUGCUCCUGAUUGAUAAACAUUUGAGUGAGUGGCGGACGGGUGAGUAACACGUGGGUAACCUGCCCUAAAGUGGGGGAUAACAUUUGGAAACAGAUGCUAAUACCGCAUAAAACCUAACACCGCAUGGUGUAGGGUUGAAAGAUGGUUUCGGCUAUCACUUUAGGAUGGACCCGCGGUGCAUUAGUUAGUUGGUGAGGUAAAGGCUCACCAAGACCGUGAUGCAUAGCCGACCUGAGAGGGUAAUCGGCCACACUGGGACUGAGACACGGCCCAGACUCCUACGGGAGGCAGCAGUAGGGAAUCUUCCACAAUGGACGAAAGUCUGAUGGAGCAACGCCGCGUGAGUGAAGAAGGUUUUCGGAUCGUAAAACUCUGUUGUUGGAGAAGAAUGUAUCUGAUAGUAACUGAUCAGGUAGUGACGGUAUCCAACCAGAAAGCCACGGCUAACUACGUGCCAGCAGCCGCGGUAAUACGUAGGUGGCAAGCGUUGUCCGGAUUUAUUGGGCGUAAAGCGAGCGCAGGCGGUUUCUUAAGUCUGAUGUGAAAGCCUUCGGCUCAACCGA
Molecule: ribosomal RNA, 581 nt
Filed under: Latilactobacillus sakei
Lineage: Bacteria; Bacillati; Bacillota; Bacilli; Lactobacillales; Lactobacillaceae
Description: bacterial SSU rRNA
Rfam family: Bacterial small subunit ribosomal RNA
Source: RNAcentral